Molecule: ribosomal RNA, 243 nt
Filed under: uncultured bacterium
Lineage: Bacteria
Description: partial 16S ribosomal RNA
Rfam family: Bacterial small subunit ribosomal RNA
Source: RNAcentral
AGUGGCGAACGGGUGAGUAAUACAUAAGCAACCUACCCACGAAGACUGGGAUAAUCUCUGGAAACGGGGACUAAUACCGGAUAGGUAAUCGGAAGGCAUCUUCUGAUUAUUAAAGGUUAAAAACACUGGUGGAUGGGCUUAUGGCGCAUUAGUUAGUUGGUGAGGUAACGGCCCACCCAAGACGAUGAUGCGUAGCCGGCCUGAGAGGGUGAACGGCCACAUUGGGACUGAGACACGGCCCAG